GUAGUCUGCAACCCGACUACAUGAAGCUGGAAUCGCUAGUAAUCGCGGAUCAGAAUGCCGCGGUGAAUACGUUCCCGGGUCUUGUACACACCGCCCGUCACACCAUGGGAGUCGGAAAUGCCCGAAGUCUGUGACCCAACCAUUAAGGAGGGAGCAGCCGAAGGCAGGUCGGAUGACUGGGGUGAAGUCGUAACAAGGUACC
RNAcentral lists this ribosomal RNA (202 nucleotides) under uncultured bacterium. RNAcentral's name for it is "partial 16S ribosomal RNA". It matches the Rfam family "Bacterial small subunit ribosomal RNA", at positions 1300 to 1500 of the family's 1533-position model. The record is from RNAcentral.